AACAAGUACAAGUAGUUCCAUCUCCUGACGGUACGUAACUGUAACAAUGGAAGCAGAAGCCGAAAAUCAAAGACCUACAAGCAGAAAGCCAGAAGAUACUGCGUUCAAACAGCAAAGAUUGAAGGCAUGGCAACCUAUUCUUA
This 143-nucleotide non-coding RNA is filed under the name Chattonella subsalsa. The record is from RNAcentral. Lineage: Eukaryota; Raphidophyceae; Chattonellales; Chattonellaceae.